RNAcentral lists this ribosomal RNA (617 nucleotides) under Shigella sonnei. RNAcentral's name for it is "bacterial SSU rRNA". It matches the Rfam family "Bacterial small subunit ribosomal RNA", at positions 909 to 1526 of the family's 1533-position model. Lineage: Bacteria; Pseudomonadati; Pseudomonadota; Gammaproteobacteria; Enterobacterales; Enterobacteriaceae. The record is from RNAcentral.
AUUGACGGGGGCCCGCACAAGCGGUGGAGCAUGUGGUUUAAUUCGAUGCAACGCGAAGAACCUUACCUGGUCUUGACAUCCACAGAACUUUCCAGAGAUGGAUUGGUGCCUUCGGGAACUGUGAGACAGGUGCUGCAUGGCUGUCGUCAGCUCGUGUUGUGAAAUGUUGGGUUAAGUCCCGCAACGAGCGCAACCCUUAUCCUUUGUUGCCAGCGGUCCGGCCGGGAACUCAAAGGAGACUGCCAGUGAUAAACUGGAGGAAGGUGGGGAUGACGUCAAGUCAUCAUGGCCCUUACGACCAGGGCUACACACGUGCUACAAUGGCGCAUACAAAGAGAAGCGACCUCGCGAGAGCAAGCGGACCUCAUAAAGUGCGUCGUAGUCCGGAUUGGAGUCUGCAACUCGACUCCAUGAAGUCGGAAUCGCUAGUAAUCGUGGAUCAGAAUGCCACGGUGAAUACGUUCCCGGGCCUUGUACACACCGCCCGUCACACCAUGGGAGUGGGUUGCAAAAGAAGUAGGUAGCUUAACCUUCGGGAGGGCGCUUACCACUUUGUGAUUCAUGACUGGGGUGAAGUCGUAACAAGGUAACCGUAGGGGAACCUGCGGUUGGAUCAC